Long non-coding RNA from Xenopus tropicalis (tropical clawed frog), 475 nucleotides. RefSeq lists it as uncharacterized. The record is from RefSeq and is a predicted model, not a curated record. Lineage: Eukaryota; Metazoa; Chordata; Amphibia; Anura; Pipidae. The transcript is spliced from 3 exons.
UCUGCAGCUCUUCAAAGAUAUUCAGAGUUUUAGGUUCUCGGUGGAGCAGGAAAUUCCCAUCGGUAACCUGCAGCCAGCCACUGUUGUUGUCUACGAUUACUACGAGACAGAUGAUUUGGCCAUCACCAAGUAUGAUGCUCCCUUCAGCGCAAAAGAUGGAGCAAACAAAGAACAGCAUUAAAACAGGCCCAGAAGGAAAAAAGGUGCAGAACCCACCAACUAAAUGACUUGUCAGUGGAUUUGGAGAAAUUGGACAAGUGGAUUGUCGUUGUCUCUCUGUCAAUUUGCCAACGUGAUUCAUUUCUAGAAUAUUUAUAAUGGACAAAAUAUGCACAUUCCUAUUCUACAGAGGAUGAAGAUACACAGGAGGAGAUAUUAAUCUGACCCCCAUUCAUUUUAUAGCUAUAGAUCUAUUAAAUGUAUAUUUUAUCCAUGUACAUACAGUAUAUUAAACAUUGUAUUUGAAGGAACAGUC